CUUCGGUGGGGAUUAGUGGCGAACGGGUGAGUAACACGUGGGCAAUCUGCCCUGCACUCUGGGACAAGCCCUGGAAACGGGGUCUAAUACCGGAUACUGAGCCUCGCAGGCAUCUGUGAGGUUCGAAAGCUCCGGCGGUGCAGGAUGAGCCCGCGGCCUAUCAGCUUGUUGGUGAGGUAAUGGCUCACCAAGGCGACGACGGGUAGCCGGCCUGAGAGGGCGACCGGCCACACUGGGACUGAGACACGGCCCAGACUCCUACGGGAGGCAGCAGUGGGGAAUAUUGCACAAUGGGCGAAAGCCUGAUGCAGCGACGCCGCGUGAGGGAUGACGGCCUUCGGGUUGUAAACCUCUUUCAGCAGGGAAGAAGCGAAAGUGACGGUACCUGCAGAAGAAGCGCCGGCUAACUACGUGCCAGCAGCCGCGGUAAUACGUAGGGCGCAAGCGUUGUCCGGAAUUAUUGGGCGUAAGAUAAAGAAUACGCGACUUGUCACGUCGGUUGUGAAAGCCCGGGGCUUAACCCCGGGUCUGCAGUCGAUACGGGCAGGCUAGAGUUCGGUAGGGGAGAUCGGAAUUCCUGGUGUAGCGGUGAAAUGCGCAGAUAUCAGGAGGAACACCGGUGGCGAAAGGCGGA
This 634-nucleotide ribosomal RNA is filed under the name Streptomyces violaceorubidus. Its description in RNAcentral is "bacterial SSU rRNA". It matches the Rfam family "Bacterial small subunit ribosomal RNA", at positions 80 to 725 of the family's 1533-position model. The record is from RNAcentral. Lineage: Bacteria; Bacillati; Actinomycetota; Actinomycetes; Kitasatosporales; Streptomycetaceae.